AUGGCUGUCGUCAGCUCGUGUCGUGAGAUGUUGGGUUAAGUCCCGCAACGAGCGCAACCCUUAUUGCCAGUUGCUAACACGUAAUGGUGAGCACUCUGGCGAAACUGCCCCGGAUAACGGGGAGGAAGGUGGGGAUGACGUCAAGUCCUCAUGGCCUUUAUGUCCAGGGCCACACACGUGCUACAAUGGGUGGUACAAACCGUCGCAAACCCGCGAGGGGGAGCUAAUCGGAAAAAGCCAUCCUCAGUACGGAUUGGAGUCUGCAACUCGACUCCAUGAAGCUGGAAUCGCUAGUAAUCGCGGAUCAGCACGCCGCGGUGAAUACGUUCCCGGGCCUUGUACACACCGCCCGUCACAUCACGAAAGUGGGUCGUACUAGAAGUCGGUGGGCUAACCGCAAGGAGGCAGCCGCCCAAGGUAUGAUUCAUGAUUGGGGUGAAGUCGUAACAAGGUAGCCGUAGGAGAACCUGCGGCUGGAUCACCUCCUUUCUAAGAGAGAACGUCAUGGCAGUUUUGCCCUGCCUGAACGCUUCGGCGUUUCAGGGGCCUCCUCAAAAAGGCUUUUGGUGAAACAUGUUGCCAUGUACCCCUUCCAUCCUUUGCUAACCUGCUUAGGGAGGAAGGAAUCUCGCUCACAAUCUCUUUCCUGGCAAUGUUCCACGAUGGUCCGCAUCGGCUUAGCUGGUGCGCGCGUUCAACCUGUCCUCGGAAAUAAAUUCUGCAGGAAAUCUGUGCCAUAGGCCUGGUGAGCCAGCGGCAAGCGCUGUCACGCGCUGAGCCGAUGGAAAACAAGCGGGCCUGUAGCUCAGUUGGUUAGAGCACACGCUUGAUAAGCGUGGGGUCGAUAGUUCAAAUCUAUCCAGGCCCACUUUGACCUAGGCUGGUACGGGGCCGUAGCUCAGCUGGGAGAGCGCCAGCUUUGCAAGCUGGAUGUCGUCGGUUCGAUCCCGAUCGGCUCCACCAGGUUUCUGCGGGAACGGUUCUUUGACAAUUGCAUAUGCGCAAGAAGGAAGUAGAGAGGAAGCCGGCGCGCCCGUUUUGGACGAUGGGCGGAAGGACUGCGCUGGACCUUGGUCUCUUUGAGGUGAAGGUGGACGAAGAAGAGAGAUGACCAAGCUACGAAGGGCACACGAUGGAUGCCUAGGUGACAGGAGGCGAAGAAGGACGUGGGUAGCUGCGAAAAGCGUCGGGGAGCCGCUAACCAGGCUUUGAUCCGGCGAUAUCCGAAUGGGGAAACCCGG
RNAcentral lists this small RNA (1241 nucleotides) under uncultured bacterium. RNAcentral describes it as "bacterial SSU rRNA". The stretch from base 1 to 489 matches the Rfam family "Bacterial small subunit ribosomal RNA", at positions 1045 to 1533 of the family's 1533-position model. The record is from RNAcentral.